RNAcentral lists this transfer RNA (72 nucleotides) under Beta vulgaris subsp. vulgaris (sugar beet). It matches the Rfam family "tRNA". From Rfam's summary of the family: Transfer RNA (tRNA) molecules are approximately 80 nucleotides in length. Their secondary structure includes four short double-helical elements and three loops (D, anti-codon, and T loops). The record is from Rfam by way of RNAcentral. Lineage: Eukaryota; Viridiplantae; Streptophyta; Magnoliopsida; Caryophyllales; Amaranthaceae.
UUUGUAAUAGCAUAAUGGUAAUGCAUCUACCUUCCAAGUAGAAAGAUCCAGGUUCAACUCCUGGUUAGAAAA